This 253-nucleotide ribosomal RNA is filed under the name uncultured bacterium. RNAcentral's name for it is "partial 16S ribosomal RNA". It matches the Rfam family "Bacterial small subunit ribosomal RNA", at positions 524 to 776 of the family's 1533-position model. The record is from RNAcentral.
UACGAAGGGUGCAAGCGUUACUCGGAAUUACUGGGCGUAAAGGGUGCGUAGGUGGCGUGGCAAGUCUGAUGUGAAAUCCCGAGGCUCAACCUCGGAACUGCAUUGGAUACUGCCAUGCUAGAGCACUGGAGAGGAGACUGGAAUUUACGGUGUAGCAGUGAAAUGCGUAGAUAUCGUAAGGAAGACCAGUGGCGAAGGCGAGUCUCUGGACAGUUGCUGACACUGAGGCACGAAGGCUAGGGGAGCAAACGGG